CCUACGGGUGGCUGCAGUCGAGAAUCAUUCACAAUGGGGGAAACCCUGAUGGUGCGACGCCGCGUGGGGGAAUGAAGGUCUUCGGAUUGUAAACCCCUGUCAUGUGGGAGCAAAUUAAAAAGAUAGUACCACAAGAGGAAGAGACAGCUAACUCUGUGCCAGCAGCCGCGGUAAUACAGAGGUCUCAAGCGUUGUUCGGAAUCACUGGGCGUAAAGCGUGUGUAGGCUGUUUCGUAAGUCGGGUGUGAAAGGUGCGGGCUCAACCCGCGGCCGGCACAUGAUACUGCGAGACUUGAGUGAAGGAGGGGGGACCGGAAUUCUCGGUGUAGCAGUGAAAUGCGUAGAUAUCGAGAGGAACACUCGUGGCGAAGGCGGGUUCCUGGACAUUAACUGACGCUGAGGCACGAAGGCCAGGGGAGCGAAAGGGAUUAGAUACCCUAGUAGUC
Molecule: ribosomal RNA, 446 nt
Filed under: uncultured bacterium
Lineage: Bacteria
Description: partial 16S ribosomal RNA
Rfam family: Bacterial small subunit ribosomal RNA
Source: RNAcentral